UGCCCCAUGGCUAAGUUGGUCAAAGCGUCCGACUGUUAUAGCUGGUAGAUGACACGAUGCUUACGUAAUUCUGCAAUCGGAAGGUCGUGAGUUCGAUCCUCACUGGGGCAG
Molecule: non-coding RNA, 111 nt
Organism: Cytidiella melzeri
Lineage: Eukaryota; Fungi; Basidiomycota; Agaricomycetes; Polyporales; Irpicaceae
Source: the annotation of a GenBank genome assembly